Molecule: long non-coding RNA, 709 nt
Organism: Panicum virgatum (switchgrass)
Lineage: Eukaryota; Viridiplantae; Streptophyta; Magnoliopsida; Poales; Poaceae
Exons: 2
Source: RefSeq, a predicted model, not a curated record
GCCGCCGCCUCCUCGGCCACGGCCUCCGCCUCCGCCUCCGCCUCCGCCUUCACCACCACAAUCAACCACGGUAAUGCAAAGUCUCGUUGCUUAUUAGCUGCCGCACCAUCUUCGACUUGUAGAGACCGAGUAUUCCAGGAAGAAGGCGGUUCGGUUGGUGAGUAGAGAAGAAGGCGGCGCGCGACGAGCAAGGAAGAACAUGGAUGCCAAAGCGCCGCCGGUGCAGCGAACGUGACGGCGACCAGACGUCAGAGCCUCGGCGGCAGCGGCAGCGGCAGCUGCUUGGAAGGUCUGCCAGGAGAAGCUGUUCAGCCUCAACCUAGGUGAGGAGCAUGUAUCCGCUGGCCUCUUCUACAUGGGAAGCAAGAGCGAAUUCUUCUUCGUGGAAGGAUGUCAGUGCUGAUCAGGUGCUUGAGGAGGGAGGCCCCAAUAGCUAUAUGUAUCGCAUGAUGAACUUUUCCCUCGCGUUUGACAAGAACGAAGACCUUAAGACUCAAAGCCGGCGAGUUCAAUCCUUCAAGGUGCCUAAAAACACAUCGGCUGAUUUCCUCUCUUGUGGCCCUGUGGCAUUUUUUCUGUAAAAUGCCAAAAUCAUGUCAUGAUAAUGUUCCUAUAUAUGUUUUCAUUCAGGUGUGAGUGUCUUUUCUCUCUUUAUUGAUGUGUAAUAAUUCAACUGUGAUUUCUGUUACUCUUUAUUAAUGUUUAAUAA